AUUGAACGCUGGCGGAAUGCUUUACACAUGCAAGUCGAACGGCAGCACGGGAGCAAUCCUGGUGGCGAGUGGCGAACGGGUGAGUAAUAUAUCGGAACGUGCCCAGUCGUGGGGGAUAACGCAGCGAAAGCUGUGCUAAUACCGCAUACGAACUAUGGAUGAAAGCGGGGGAACGCAAGGCCUCGCGCGAUUGGAGCGGGCGAUAUCAGAUUAGCUAGUUGGUGGGGUAAAGGCCCACCAAGGCGACGAUCUGUAGCUGGUCUGAGAGGACGACCAGCCACACUGGAACUGAGACACGGUCCAGACUCCUACGGGAGGCAGCAGUGGGGAAUUUUGGACAAUGGGCGAAAGCCUGAUCCAGCCAUUCCGCGUGCAGGAUGAAGGCCCUCGGGUUGUAAACUGCUUUUGUACAGAACGAAAAGGUUUCUACUAAUACUAGGAGCUCAUGGCGGUACUGUAAGAAUAAGCACCGGCUAACUACGUGCCAGCAGCCGCCGUAA
Molecule: ribosomal RNA, 500 nt
Filed under: uncultured bacterium
Lineage: Bacteria
Description: partial 16S ribosomal RNA
Rfam family: Bacterial small subunit ribosomal RNA
Source: RNAcentral